RNAcentral lists this transfer RNA (86 nucleotides) under Chlamydiota bacterium. RNAcentral describes it as "Chlamydiae bacterium tRNA-Leu". It matches the Rfam family "tRNA". Rfam says of the family: Transfer RNA (tRNA) molecules are approximately 80 nucleotides in length. The record is from RNAcentral. Lineage: Bacteria; Pseudomonadati; Chlamydiota.
UGCGGAAGUGGCGAAAUUGGUAGACGCGCUACCUUGAGGGGGUAGUGAGGGAAACCUUUUGGGGGUUCGAGUCCCCCCUUUCGCAA